GACGCGAUCGAGCGCGAUGUGCGCUGGCUGGGCUUCGACUGGGGCGAGCAUCUCCAUUUUGCGUCCGACUAUUUCGAACAGCUUUAUGCCUGGGCGCAGCACCUGAUCCGCGCAGGCAAGGCCUAUGUCGACGAUCAGACGNNNNNNNNNNNNCACCCUGACCGAGCCCGGACAGAACAGCCCUUUCCGCGACCGGUCGGUUGAGGAAAAUCUCGACCUGUUCGGCCGGAUGCGCGCGGGUGAAUUUCCGAACGGCGCGCGCGUGCUG
RNAcentral lists this unclassified non-coding RNA (268 nucleotides) under Hevea brasiliensis (rubber tree). Lineage: Eukaryota; Viridiplantae; Streptophyta; Magnoliopsida; Malpighiales; Euphorbiaceae. The record is from RNAcentral.